This 392-nucleotide ribosomal RNA is filed under the name uncultured bacterium. Its description in RNAcentral is "bacterial SSU rRNA". It matches the Rfam family "Bacterial small subunit ribosomal RNA", at positions 28 to 423 of the family's 1533-position model. The record is from RNAcentral.
GACGAACGCUGGCGGCGUGCUUAACACAUGCAAGUCGAGCGGUAAGGCCCUUUCGGGGGUACACGAGCGGCGAACGGGUGAGUAACACGUGGGUGACCUGCCCUCAGCUCUGGGAUAAGCCUGGGAAACUGGGUCUAAUACUGGAUAUGACUCCACGGUGCAUGUCGUGGGGUGGAAAGCCUUGUGCGGCUGAGGAUGGGCCCGCGGCCUAUCAGCUUGUUGGUGGGGUGANGGCCUACCAAGGCGACGACGGGUAGCCGGCCUGAGAGGACGACCAGCCACACUGGGACUGAGACACGGCCCAGACUCCUACGGGAGGCAGCAGUGGGGAAUAUUGGACAAUGGGCGCAAGCCUGAUCCAGCCAUGCCGCGUGAGUGAUGAAGGCCUCGGU